Long non-coding RNA from Clupea harengus (Atlantic herring), 1527 nucleotides. NCBI's taxonomy places the organism in Eukaryota, Metazoa, Chordata, Actinopteri, Clupeiformes, Clupeidae. The record is from Ensembl.
CGACAACAGUGUAUCAGUAUUGGUAUAUUAAUUUAUUGAAUUAUAAUCAGACAAGACAUAGGAAUGGAGCACUAUGCAAUGGGCACUAAUGCUAACCCUUGGAAAAGGAAAGGACUGCAUUCACACUUAGAGGAAGUUCCAUCUGGUGCAGGUGCAGUUGCAGCUGAAUCAGAGCAGUUUCCUCCGCCAUGUAAAUAUCUGUGGUGCGUCGAGGUAUCUAAGAGACUGAAAGCAGAACAUACUGUAGCUGAUUUUUUGGCUCAGAAUCAGGAUCAAAUCGGUUCAGCAGGUGAAUCUAGAUUAGGUCUGGAACCUUAAUCGGUUCCAGAUCCACUAGAACCACACGGAACCUGUGCCGGAUUCGGCAAAUAUCUGGAAAAGUCCGGCGUUCAACAGGCUCAGCAGUGUUGUGGCAGUACAUCUUAUUUCAAAUAAAUAAAAUCACAGUAAGACUAAGAUAUCAUGACCGCUACACCUUAGUACCCAGUCCGUAUGCAGCGCUUCAGAUGAGUAACUACAGCAUGAUGGUAUGACAUUAAUGCAUGUAUCAUUUCACCAUGGCAUCACUCACAGUCUCACAUUUCUAACUUAAUUUACAAUCGAUGAAUUACCUUUAAUCACACACAGACACCAGGUUACUUCAGGAAAAUAAAACAUCUGUGAUAAACUUUAAUAUAAAUAAAUGUUCUUAUCUAUGAUAAACUAUAAUAGAAUUAUCUGCGUAUAUAUAUAAAAAUAAAAUGCAUUUUACUACACUCAGCUCCCACACUUAUGGCUGCAAACGCUGGUGCGCAUUCAGCCCAGAUCGGGCCCAGACCAGGGUGAGAUCUGGCCCAGAUUAGGGUGAGAUCUGGUCGAGAUUAGGGUGAGAUCUGGGCGAGAUUAGGGUGAGAUCUGGGCGAGAUCAGGGCGAGAGCUGCACCAGGGCCAGCUGCUGACUGGACAGACUUCAUGCAGACGGACUCCUGUCAUCCUCUACUCUACAGCAUUACUUCAUCACCUCCAGCACAUCCCAUUGCACGCCUUUAACUGUGGACAUGUGAAAUCCACACUAUGGAAAAGUAACAUCACCCCCAGCACCAGCAUACACGGCAUAUAUAAUCUAUUCCUGUUCUCUAUGGCCCAUUCUCUGCACACAGCAAUGUCACCAUUCGGAGGUCAUGAAAAAUAUGUUGGGUAACAACUAGUAAUCUAUUCAAAGUCGAUUAAAAUAAAACAUCUAGAUCUGACGAGCUGCAGGAGAGUUUCCCACUUUGACUUUUUCGUCUCUUGCUGUUACUCUCUCUGUCUUACUGUCAUUUCUCUCUCUCACUCUUUCUCUCUCUCUCUCUCACUCUCUCUCUCUCUCUCUGUCAAUCUUUCUCUUUCUUUCCAUCUGUCUCUUCUGAGUCAGACUCCCUGCCAGUGUUUAUGGACACCUCCGACUCUGGGCUCACCACCAGUUCCUCUUCCACUUCUUCAUUUUCCUUCCCAUCUUUCUCUCCUUCUCCUUCUCCUUCACUGCUCUCCUGCGAUUUCUCUCCUCCA